Molecule: ribosomal RNA, 664 nt
Filed under: uncultured cyanobacterium
Lineage: Bacteria; Bacillati; Cyanobacteriota
Description: bacterial SSU rRNA
Rfam family: Bacterial small subunit ribosomal RNA
Source: RNAcentral
CGGACGGGUGAGUAACGCGUGAGAAUCUACCCUUAGGAUGGGGACAACAGUUGGAAACGACUGCUAAUACCCGAUGUGCCGAGAGGUAAAACUUAUAUGGCCUGAGGAAGAGCUCGCGUCUGAUUAGCUAGUUGGUAGUGUAAGGGACUACCAAGGCGACGAUCAGUAGCUGGUCUGAGAGGAUGAUCAGCCACACUGGGACUGAGACACGGCCCAGACUCCUACGGGAGGCAGCAGUGGGGAAUUUUCCGCAAUGGGCGAAAGCCUGACGGAGCAAGACCGCGUGAGGGAGGAAGGCCUACUGGUUGUAAACCUCUUUUGAUAGGGAAGAACACAAUGACGGUACCCAUCGAAUCAGCCUCGGCUAACUCCGUGCCAGCAGCCGCGGUAAUACGGAGGAGGCAAGCGUUAUCCGGAAUUAUUGGGCGUAAAGCGUCCGUAGGUGGUUAUCCAAGUCAGUUGUUAAAGCGUAGAGCUUAACUCUAUAAGGGCAAUUGAAACUGGGUGGCUAGAGUGCGAUAGGGGCAAGGGGAAUUCCCAGUGUAGCGGUGAAAUGCGUAGAUAUUGGGAAGAACAUCGGUGGCGAAGGCGCCUUGCUGGGUCUGCACUGACACUGAGGGACGAAAGCUAGGGGAGCGAAAGGGAUUAGAUACCCCUGUAGUCA